GCAGUAAAGAGCCUGGGUGAGAAGAUGGGAGAAUUCAUUGUACCCACUUGUGCCAGGGAGGCUUGGCCCACAGAAGAGUCAACAGGGAUGGGAGGGGCUUGAAUCAACUGAUACCACAACCCCCGAGAAGAGACCUUCUGAAGGGAGAGAAAAGGCAUCAGAGCACCUGGCAGCUUCGCCAAAGAAAAUGUGUAAGAAUUCACCCACUGGUGCCACAGUUCACCGACUUGAUAACCAAGAGGAGACAGAGAUAAGAAAAAGAUGAACAAGAGAAGGCCCAUGGCCUUCUGGAAUAUGUAGCACUCCCAAGUACAGCCCACUUGUCUUUGCGAGACCCGGCUUCUAGAUCCCGGUUGGAGAGCUCCUUGGGGUCGAAACUGAAUGAGCUCCAACGCUUCAGGAUUUCAAACAUUAGGACUUUGUCCUUGGGGACCGGGAAGAUCAAGACGGUGAAGUCUGGGAUCCGCCUGGAUUAAGAGGUACCCGGAAGAGGGGCGGGGGCGCUGCCUGCCGGGUGGAGAGUGCAAGGCAGCCCUUCCCCCGGCCUGCCCCCGGGAGUUUGCAGAUGAGAAACCGGGGCACGCACGCGUGCACAGGCUCGCAGACCCGUCCACCUCCCGCGCCCUCAGCCAGGCGUCCAUCAAGGAAAGAGGCGUCGCGAUGCGGAGGAGAGCCUGAAAUACGUUUUAAUCUACUGCCAGGACGGGCAGGAGCCAGGAAGUGCUGAGUGAGGAUGGGAAGCCCUGGGAGCUGCGAGAGGCCGGUUACCGAUGCCCGGCUGUGCGGCCAGCCCUGAACCGAAGGAACACCUGACCCAGAGCCCUGAAUAAGCCCCGGGAAGGACCGCAGGAAGGAGGGGGUGGGGGCGGCACGGAGUCGGGGGAGAGGAGGCAAGGAUUGUGCUUUUUUUGCGGGGAGGGGUUCGCCAUGGCAUGAGGGAGCUCCUGGGCCAGGGAUCAAACCUGAGCCACAGCAGUGACAGCGCUGGGUCCUUAACCCGCUGAGACACAAGGGAAUUCCGAUGAUUGUGAAUCUUGACAGGACCCAAAGCCUAGAAUAAUGUAGAUGCUAACACACAAGCAUGAUGGAGCCCUAGCUGCAGCCACAGCCGUGGCUUUUUAUGACAGUCAGGUAAGACUGUACCAAAGGUACAGGUGUAGUAAAUGUUUUCAUGAAA
Molecule: non-coding RNA, 1177 nt
Organism: Sus scrofa (pig)
Lineage: Eukaryota; Metazoa; Chordata; Mammalia; Artiodactyla; Suidae
Source: RefSeq, a predicted model, not a curated record